UCCCAUGAGCUAUAGUGGAAGAUUUAGGAAGUGGUUCACAGUUCAGCAUAACGAAAAACUCUGAAUCCUUGCUCUCUGAAAUUAUUCCCCAGAUAGAUUUUUCACUCACUUCUUGGAGCAAACAAUGGAAUCCAAAAUUUUUCUAGUUUAGACAUAAAGUUAUACAUAUACACAUACAUACAUAUAUAUAUAUAUAUAUGUAUACACAC
This is a non-coding RNA of Ceratotherium simum simum (southern white rhinoceros), 209 nucleotides long. NCBI's taxonomy places the organism in Eukaryota, Metazoa, Chordata, Mammalia, Perissodactyla, Rhinocerotidae. The record is from RefSeq and is a predicted model, not a curated record.